Molecule: ribosomal RNA, 372 nt
Filed under: Triticum aestivum (bread wheat)
Lineage: Eukaryota; Viridiplantae; Streptophyta; Magnoliopsida; Poales; Poaceae
Description: partial small subunit ribosomal RNA
Source: RNAcentral
AUGGCUCAGCAAGGUGGACAGAAUCAGGUGUCCGGUGCCACUUCCCGAAGGCUCGCCUGGUCCAACCGUUGCCAAGAUGCUUGGCGGGUGCUUAGCAAAAUGCCCUCAGGGAAAGACGAAGGAAAGGAUAGUGAAGCCGAACUUCACACACCGCGCAUCCGGACCAAGGGAAUUGCUUCCUCCCCAAGGGAGGGUAGUCAGGGAGGGGAAUCCGAGGCCACCUCCCCGCGCGGGAAGAAAAGGGCCGCCUCCAAAGACUUGGAGAUGGAGAUGCCCAAACAGGGGAAGAAAGUGUUGCCGGGGGGCUCUGCCCCGAUGGGCGUCCUCGCCAUGUCAUGCCUGCCAACGGGCCAGCCCUCAACCGAGCUGUGA